AGCAAGUGGACCUUCUGGGAUUCCUGGGCCCAUGGUAUGGUUUUGAUUGUUUAAGUGAUAUCCCUCUUUGACUGAUUUAUGAUUGCAAGAGUGACAGUGAAAAUAUUUUUCCCCCUAGGGUCUUCCAGGGAAUAUGGGGCAACCUGGAAUCAAAGGUGAUAAGGGAGCUCUUGGUUUGCCAGGACCACCAGGGAUGAGAGGAAAGCCAGGACCUUCUGGACCAGCAGGUGACCCAGGCCCCCAAGGACCAUGUGGCCCAUCAGGACCAGAG
Molecule: long non-coding RNA, 271 nt
Filed under: Vombatus ursinus (common wombat)
Lineage: Eukaryota; Metazoa; Chordata; Mammalia; Diprotodontia; Vombatidae
Description: lncRNA (ENSVURG00010009761.1)
Source: RNAcentral